This is an RNA transcript of Panicum virgatum (switchgrass), 3342 nucleotides long. It is a transcript of the gene named protease 2-like, with no coding region annotated. NCBI's taxonomy places the organism in Eukaryota, Viridiplantae, Streptophyta, Magnoliopsida, Poales, Poaceae. The record is from RefSeq and is a predicted model, not a curated record. The transcript has 14 exons.
AGCAAACUUUGCAGCAGCAAAACCAAACAAACCGGCGCGAUGCUCCGCCGGCGCCCGCGGCCCGCCGCGUUCCUCCGCCUCUUCGCCACCUCCUGCCGCCGCAGCUCCCUCCACCCCUCGCAGCCGCAGCUCCCGAACCCUGCCGAUCUCCCGCCGCCGCCGGUGGCGAAGAAGGUCCCGUUCACCGUGUCGGCGCACGGGAGGUCGUGGAGUGACCCGUACCACUGGAUGCGCGAUACCUCCGACCCGGACCUCGCUGCUCUCCUCGCCGCAGAGAACGCCUAUGCCGACGCCUUCGUCGGCUCGGCUGGCGGCGGCGGCCUCCGCGCGCGCCUCGCCGCCGAGAUGCGCGCCCGGCUGCCCCCUUCCGCCGCCACACCGCCCCAGCCGUGGGGCCCUUGGUUGUAUUAUCAGUAUGUUCCAGAGGGAAAGGAAUACCCUGUUUUAUCUAGGAAGUUGAAGCCCUCUCAUGGUCUAGCACGAGCUCUGCUGGAUUAUCUUUCUGGUUCAGAGAAGGAGCAAGUGUUGCUUGACUGGAAUGAGGUUGCAGAGAAAAAUGGUUAUGUGCACAUUGGGAGUUGUCGAAUCUCUCCAGAUCAUAGGUUCCUUGCAUAUACAGUUGAUACAUCUGGUGGUGAACUAUUUUCCCUUGAAGUAAAAGAUCUUCAAUCUGAGCAUGUCAUCUUUAGCUCACCAGACAAAGGAAUAGUUAGUUUAGCAUGGGCUCGCAACAGUGAAAGUUUGUUUUACACUGUCUGCGAUGAGACUCUACGUCCUAACCAGGUUUUCUGUAAAAAGUUACAAUCGCAUGAAGCAGGGUUUCUAGUUUUCACAGAGGAGGAUGUUAACUGUUGUGUAGAUAUUACAAGCACAAAAGAUUUUAAGUAUAUAACUGUCAAUUCUAACACAAGGACCUCAUCUGAGGUUUUUGUGAUGGAAUCUGAUAAUGUAAGGGAGGGCUUAUGGCCUAUACGGAAACGUGUUGAUAAAGUUCAGUACUUUUUGGAGCACCACCAUGGGUUCUUUUACAUCCUUACCAAUGCUCCUGUAAAUGACACUGAAAUGAUGACUGAAGGCUACUAUCUGGCCAGGUGUCAGGAUGAAAAGUCAUUGGUGGAUAGGUGGCAGAUAGUGACAUUCCCUGGGUCGGACUGCACCAUUCAGGAUAUGGAUAUUUUUCAUGAUAAUUUAGUUCUCUUUCUUCGAAAGAAUGGAAGCCCUCUUUUUUGCUCCAUCAAUAUGCCAAUUGAUGUUGAUGUUCAGGGGCCAAAGGAAGUUAAUGAUCUCAACCCAUGGUAUUUCCCGGUACCAUCAAACAUGUGCAGUAUUAUUCCGGGAUCCAACAAUGAUUUCAUGUCAUCUACUUAUCGUCUGGUUGUUUCAUCGCCUGUGAUUCCAGACUUAACUGUGGACUACGAUUUGAGAAAAAAGACUUUCACCAUUCUUCAUCAAGAGGAAGUAACUAGCCUGUCUGCAAAUCUAGGCACCGUGGGCAAAUCCAAUGUUUCAAGCAUCCAACAAAACCUGCAGCUUGUUGAAACUUCACAAAGUUGGAGUGAUCUUUCCAAGCUAUACUUAUGUAAAAGGAUCGAAGUUAUAUCACAUGAUGGUGUUUUGAUACCAUUAGUCAUUUUGUAUUCACGGGAAGCACAUCGUCAUGGAGAAUCACCUGGGAUCUUAUAUGGCUAUGGAUCUUAUGGAGAAGAUUUGGACAAAAGCUGGUGUUCAGAGAGGUUAAGUCUCCUCUCUCGAGGAUGGGUUCUUGCAUUUGCAGAUGUUAGGGGUGGAGGAGAUUUAUCUUGGCAUCAUGCAGGAACCAAAUCUAACAAGAUAAAUUCAAUUCAUGAUUUUGCUGCAUGUGGUAUGCAUCUCAUCAAGGCAGGCUUGGUUCACCAAAAUCGUCUUUGUGCUAUAGGCUGUAGUGCUGGCGGUCUGCUGGUGGGCGCAGUCAUUAAUAUGCUUCCAGACUUAUUUUCUGCUGCAGUUCUCAAGGUCCCUUUUCUAGAUAUCUGCAACACAAUGUUGGAUCCUACUUUACCUCUCACUGUCUUGGACUAUGAAGAGUUUGGUGACCCUAAUAUCCCAGCUGAAUUUGAGGCGAUCUGCAGUUAUUCUCCUUAUGAUAACUUGUCAUCUGGUGUCUGCUAUCCACCAGUCCUGGUGACUGCCUCGUUUAAUGAUACAAGGGUAGGGAUUUGGGAAGCUGCGAAGUGGGUUGCAAAAGUGAGAGAUAUCACAUGCAGAUCCUGUUCCAAAUCAGUUAUUCUCAAAACUAAUAUGCAAAGUGGCCAUUUUGGUGAGGGUGGGCGCUUCAUGCACUGUGAUGAGACGGCCCUCGAUUAUGCAUUUCUCAUGAAGGCCUUGCAGUUGGAUGACAACUAUUGCUUAAUGGACCCAUGCCUGAGGCUUCUCACGGAACAGAUUUGUGCGACUUAGUGCAAAACUGAGAAUAUCAACUUGUUCUUUCAAAAUACCACGCCUGGAUGCUGUUCAUCAGCAGUGCCAAGGUGAAGUGCUUAUCAGUUAAGUGGUCGAGUAGGCCUGUUGCUCCGUUAUGGCAUGUGUUUCUAGUUGAUAACCUGAUGGUGUUAGAUAUGGAGCUAUUGGGAAAGAAUAAAUGGUUCAGCAUGGAUGUUGAUUUUGACUUCCUACUUCCUGGACCAGGGGAAGCGUUCAGUUGGUUAUACCAACCUGCAUGAGGUUAUGCGACCUCAACUUUACAUAGUCCGCAGGUAGGACGUGCUAUGAUGCCAUUAUGGGCGUCGAAUGGCAGUGUUGUGUGGUGUGGUACUGUGGUUGGUCCAUGCCUCGAUGGGAUUUAGCUACUUUGCUUCUCGUUCGCGCCUGCUCUCGGUUCUAGCUCCGCAGCGGGUGGUGUCAAUGGAAUCAUUGGGCAACCGAUUGCUUGGUGGAGACGCCGGCGGCGUGCGUUGGUUAUGGUUGCUAUCGCUGUCCGCGAGUUCUAUGAUGCGAUUAUUGCAUCACCAUUGGAGUGCGCGGUGAUUAUUCUGUUGCUGUGGUUUACUUGCUCCGAACGGCUGGACGCCUGGUUAUCAGUGUUGAUGAGAUGACUGGUGGUAUAAUGCCGAGAUAUGAUGGUACAUAACGUACGUCGCUAUGGAUGGACAAUUAUUAUGCCGGCAUGAGGUUCGGAGGUUUGCGAGAAGUUUUACAUAUUUCCAUUUUUGUUUCGUAGUCGGGCGUCUUUUAAACCUUGUAUGCGGAUUGCGACAUGUGCCCUUUUGCGAAUAUAUAGCCAUGAUAAAAAUUUGGCUAUGAAACAGUUGUUUUUUUCUUCCCCUGUCACUGACGAUACCAGAACAAAAUUUCAGUUUGGUAUCA